UUGGAGGGCAAGUCUGGUGCCAGCAGCCGCGGUAAUUCCAGCUCCAAUAGCGUAUAUUAAAGUUGUUGCAGUUAAAAAGCUCGUAGUUGAAUUUCGGAAUCUGUCCGUCGGUCGGGCUUCACUGUCCGUACUGGUGUGAUGUGUUUCUGCCUUCUGAAUAACCGGCAUGUCAUUAAUUUGGUGCGCCGGGGAAGCAGAACUAUUACCUUGAAAAAAUUAGAGUGCUUAAAGCAGGCUAUCGCCUGAAUGGAUUAGCAUGGAAUAAUAAAAUAGGACGGCAUGGUUCUAUUUUGUUGGUUUCUAGGAUCACCGUAAUGAUUAAUAGGGAUAGUUGGGGCAUUAGUAUUCAAUUGUCAGAGGUGAAAUUCAUGGAUUUAUUGAAGACUAACUUCUGCGAAAGCAUUUGCCAAGGAUGUUUUCAUUAAUCAAGAACGAAAGUUAGGGGAUCGAAGACGAUCAGAUACCGUCGUAGUCUUAACCAUAAACUAUGCCGACUAGGGAUCGGACGAUGUUAAUUUUUUAAUGACUCGUUCGGCGCCUUACGGGAAAC
RNAcentral lists this ribosomal RNA (550 nucleotides) under uncultured Glomeromycotina. RNAcentral's name for it is "SSU rRNA". It matches the Rfam family "Eukaryotic small subunit ribosomal RNA", at positions 548 to 1098 of the family's 1831-position model. Lineage: Eukaryota; Fungi; Glomeromycota. The record is from RNAcentral.